CGGACGUGGAGAACCUGCCGUAUACUGGGGGAUAACACUUAGAAAUAGGUGCUAAUACCGCAUAAGCGCACAGCUUCGCAUGAAGCAGUGUGGAAAACAAAAAGCUAAAGCUUUUGGUGGUAUACGAUGGAUCCGCGUCUGAUUAGCUAGUUGGCGGGGGUAAAGGCCCACCAAGGCGACGAUCAGUAGCCGGCCUGAGAGGGUGAACGGCCACAUUGGGACUGAGACACGGCCCAAACUCCUACGGAAGGCAGCAG
RNAcentral lists this ribosomal RNA (257 nucleotides) under uncultured bacterium. RNAcentral describes it as "partial 16S ribosomal RNA". It matches the Rfam family "Bacterial small subunit ribosomal RNA", at positions 112 to 354 of the family's 1533-position model. The record is from RNAcentral.